RNAcentral lists this unclassified non-coding RNA (1622 nucleotides) under Athalia rosae (coleseed sawfly). RNAcentral describes it as "misc RNA ENSAEAG00005009943.1". Lineage: Eukaryota; Metazoa; Arthropoda; Insecta; Hymenoptera; Athaliidae. The record is from RNAcentral.
GCGACAGUUCUGUAGACGCAUUUGUAGUUGACCUGGUAACUGUAAAGUAAUAGAUACUUAUUACCAUGAACAAAGGCAAUGAAUAGAAGCAAGGCUGAAUUUAAGCUAAACAGAAAUAGGAGUACUUUGAUACUGAUUUAAUAAUUUGAUGAAUUUAAUACACGCUAUAUUCCAAUAGACUUCUAUUAACAGAAUCUAUUGACCAAUUUUUUGCCAAACUGUUAUAGUAUACCUGAAUAUGGUGAGCAAAUAAAAUAGGACUCCAGAGAGGCAACAGUUUGCUCAAUAGGGUAGAUUGACAUUCCAACAGUGCCUCUAGUAGACUUAAAAAGUGUAAGUUCACCAUUUCAGCAAGCUGCAAAAAAUUGCGAUUAUGUCUUAGGCAUAAAAAUACUCAUUCAUUUCAGCACCACAGUUUUUACAGAACACUAGUGGGAAUAUCAAUAGAUACGAGGAGAAAACGGUUGGCACUUACCACUUUAGAGUGUGCCACAAGCUGGAGAACACAGGGUGUCACCUUGCCCCAAAAGUCUAAUAAAAUACUCAUUGUCACAUUGUGGGUUUCACUACUGGUCGAAUUGUGUUUAGAUACUUCCUCCAGUAAAUCAAAGUAUCUUACCUGACAGAGAAUGAAAGUAUGAAAAAGAGAUGACAUGUGUAACACUGAAGUCUUUGAUUGUUCUGGAAAGCCAGAUAAUAUAACUUGGACAUGAUCUGCAAUGUGACAUGAAACCUCCUGGGGUAUAGGUUGUGCUAACGGAGUUGGUGGUCCAUGUAUAUGGGGAUUUCCAGACCAUGUAUUACUGUUACCAUGAAGUGCAACGUGUGUCAGUGAUCCCAAUAAAAGCCAGGAUAAAAGCCGUAUGUGGCCAAUACAGUCGACAAAUUCACGAGACCUAGGGUGAAAAAUAUCGACUAAUAUUAGAAUAUGCCAUUAAAAAUUUUAAUUAAUAAACGUCUCAAAAGGUACAUUGAGAAUGAUCACCCUUGUUGGAGAGUUGAUGGCGCACUGUAAAGCCAAGGUAAAUAUCUUGCUACCGCUCUGUUGUCUCGACUAUUGCCCCUAGUAAUUUCUAAAGCCAAGUACUGUGCUAACCCGCACUUUAGCAUACCACCCAAGGUAUCUUCAUUUAAUCCUGCUUGCAGACCUUUACCAUAACUCUAAAAUUUAUUUAUAAAAAUUAUCAUCCAUGCUUCUGAUAACAAUCACAUAUAUGCAUAAGUACCUUCACUUUACUGAGUGUGUGAAAGUCUGCUAAAAAAUCCAAAACAUCAGAGAGCUGGCUACGCAAGGAUUCUGAUGCAUUUGUGUUAUAUAUUGGUGAUACAUCAGUUUGAACAUCUUCCACUGCAACAUUCAUGGGUAGCAUACCUCCUACAUCCUACAAAACAAAGGGUUAUUAAUUUUCUAAAGGCUCAAUGAUUGCCAACUGAUGUAAAAAAUUAAAUUAUGGAAAGAAGAUAACAAAUCAUUGCAUACCUGGAGUAUAAAAUGAAUCAACAAUAAAAAGUUCGAGUCAGGAAGCGUUGUCUUGAAUUUGAUUGCUUGGACUAACUCAAAAACAAUAGUUCUACUCAAAAAAUGUUUGUCUCGAUCUCGCGUGAAUCCACGAUGACAUAAA